This is a non-coding RNA of Vigna umbellata (rice bean), 425 nucleotides long. Lineage: Eukaryota; Viridiplantae; Streptophyta; Magnoliopsida; Fabales; Fabaceae. The record is from RefSeq and is a predicted model, not a curated record.
UUCAGGCAGCAGCACGCCGGCUAAACUCAAACCGCAAGAACGUGGAGAUUGAAUCAAUUGGUGUUGCUGGGAAAUUCAGUUCUCAACAAAGCAUAAAGAAAUACUUCAGAAUGGAGUUAACUGAAAAAAGGCAGGAGAAUAAAGAGGAUGAUUUAGACUCUAGAGCACUUGAAGAGGGAUAUGUUACUGUCACCCCUUUGUCUGUAUAUGAAUAUGGUGACAUGGAAAUUCAAUCAUCAGUCUCCAGUUGGUUAGCUACUGGAGUCAGUGGAGAUCAAUGAGCAAUUUGCAUUGUAAUUGUGGCAAUUUGAAAGUGAGAGAGUAAUGCUUGGCAAGUUUGAUAUUAUGCGAUCUUAGAAAGUAUAUCAUGUGUCAUUGGCCAGAUUCUGUUCCAUUAACUUAAUCUAUAUAUUCCUAGUCCACAA